Molecule: ribosomal RNA, 114 nt
Filed under: uncultured bacterium
Lineage: Bacteria
Description: partial 16S ribosomal RNA
Rfam family: Bacterial small subunit ribosomal RNA
Source: RNAcentral
CGGUGAAUACGUUCCCGGGCCUUGUACACACCGCCCGUCAAGCCAUGGAAGUUGGGGUACCUAAAGUCGGUCACCGCAAGGAGCCGCCUAGGGUAAAACCAAUGACUCGGGGCU